AGUGGGGAAUAUUGUACAAUGGGCGCAAGCCUGAUGCAGCCAUGCCGCGUGUGUGAAGAAGGCCUUCGGGUUGUAAAGCACUUUCAGUAAGGAGGAGAGGUUGGAUGUUAAUAGCAUUCAGCUGUGACGUUACUUACAGAAGAAGCACCGGCUAACUCCGUGCCAGCAGCCGCGGUAAUACGGAGGGUGCGAGCGUUAAUCGGAAUUACUGGGCGUAAAGCGUACGCAGGCGGUUUGUUAAGCGAGAUGUGAAAGCCCCGGGCUCAACCUGGGAACUGCAUUUCGAACUGGCAAACUAGAGUGUGAUAGAGGGUGGUAGAAUUUCAGGUGUAGCGGUGAAAUGCGUAGAGAUCUGAAGGAAUACCGAUGGCGAAGGCAGCCACCUGGGUCAACACUGACGCUCAUGUACGAAAGCGUGGGGAGCAAACAGGAUUAGAUACCCUGGUAGUCCACGCCGUAAACGAUGUCUACUAGAAGCUCGGUUCCUCGGAACUGUUUUUCAAAGCUAACGCAUUAAGUAGACCGCCUGGGGAGUACGGCCGCAAGGUUA
This 550-nucleotide ribosomal RNA is filed under the name uncultured bacterium. Its description in RNAcentral is "bacterial SSU rRNA". It matches the Rfam family "Bacterial small subunit ribosomal RNA", at positions 353 to 896 of the family's 1533-position model. The record is from RNAcentral.